CCUACGGGAGGCAGCAGUGGGGAAUAUUGCGCAAUGGGCGAAAGCCUGACGCAGCAACGCCGCGUGAGGGAUGACGGCCUUCGGGUUGUAAACCUCUUUCAGCAGGGAAGAAGCGAAAGUGACGGUACCUGCAGAAGAAGCACCGGCUAACUACGUGCCAGCAGCCGCGGUAAU
RNAcentral lists this ribosomal RNA (174 nucleotides) under uncultured bacterium. RNAcentral's name for it is "partial 16S ribosomal RNA". It matches the Rfam family "Bacterial small subunit ribosomal RNA", at positions 338 to 524 of the family's 1533-position model. The record is from RNAcentral.